This 253-nucleotide ribosomal RNA is filed under the name uncultured bacterium. Its description in RNAcentral is "partial 16S ribosomal RNA". It matches the Rfam family "Bacterial small subunit ribosomal RNA", at positions 524 to 776 of the family's 1533-position model. The record is from RNAcentral.
UACAGAGGUCCCAAGCGUUGUUCGGAUUCACUGGGCGUAAAGGGUGCGCAGGUGGUCGGGUAAGUCUGAUGUGAAAUCCCGCAGCUUAACUGCGGAAUGGCAUUGGAUACUAUUUGGCUAGAGGGUUGGAGGGGGGACCGGAAUUCUCGGUGUAGCAGUGAAAUGCGUAGAUAUCGAGAGGAACACCAGUGGCGAAGGCGAGUCCCUGGACAACUCCUGACGCUGAGGCACGAAAGCUAGGGGAGCAAACAGG